CGUAUCUUUUGUCUGUUGUAUUUUUUGCAAAUCUUGCAAAAUAUAUGCAUUUUUUUUUGUAAAUGCAGUCUUUACCUACAGUGUAAGUAGCUGUAAACAGCUAAAUAUACUGUAGGUAAAGCUAGAGUCUACACUGUAUAUAAAGUGAAUUACAUGUUACAUACUUAUUAUAUAUUUCAAUUUUUAGUUUCAAUAGUAUGUUUUAUUAUAGUAAAACAUACUUACUACAGGUACCUAAUCAAUAUUGUUACAUAUUCAAUAGUUGAUAAUUAUAUUGUUAAACACACCUUGCGUGUGGUAUGUUGGCGCUCGCACUCGCGUCUCGUCCACCUGGACCACUUUGGGAAUUUAUGGUCUAACCGAUUUUACAAACACAUUUGGGGCGGCCGCUGUCCUUUGUCGGUAAACUGACCGACGAAACAAUAGCGUAAUACUCAUUAUUUUUCCAGUAAAAAUAGGUAAAAAUAGCCAUUUAUUACUGAGCAAUUUAUUGGUAGGUACCGCAGCGGUAAGUUCUAAGCUCCAUGUACAAUGUCGAUAAACAUUUUAUUGUUAAAUAUUUUGUUUUUGUUGUAAUAUUUAACUUGCCGACAUUAUUUUGUCUGUUGUAAUCUUGCACGUAUUUCUUGCAAAUCUUUUACCUCCGCCGCUACAGUACCUACAUUGGCUACAGUAGAGGUAUUUAUAAAAAAAAAUGUAAACAUUUAUUUAUAAUUUUAUCCUAGUUAGCUAUUUUAUUUAAGUUCAAAGUGACAUUUAAGAUAAUAAUUAGGUCGCCGUUAUAACAUUUUGUAUCGUUAACAGGAAUGUUGAAGAUACAAAAUGUUAUAUAGGCUGUAUGGUCAACGAUCUUUGCCUGUCCCCGAAAUGUUGUUGGGGACAAAUUAAAAAAAAAACAUACAAACGUCUAAGUUGUCAAUUGUCAUUGUACGAAUGUAGUAAUUUACUCUGUGUCUGACGUCUGUUUUGUAUCUGUCCGCCGCGCAAAUUUUUUUCCGGUCGUGCGUUGAAGCGCAAUACAAGCAAAUUUUUUCAACUUGCUGAUUAAAAAUAAGGAGAGCUGCUCUAUCAUUUUUUUUUUAACUGUUGGACGACGCCAUUUAUAUAAAUAAUGCACCGCGAAGAAAGCCGGCGGGAGGUCGUGCCAGCGAUGCGCGACGAGCGCGACAUCGGUCGGCCCGUCGCGCUCCCGCCCAAAAAUGGUCAAUUUGCAAAUAAAAAUGCCCGCCUCAGGAGCUUCGAAGGCUGGCCGCAAAACAUGCGCCAGACGCCGGAGGAGCUUGCUGAGGCAGGCUUUUUUUAUACGGGAAACGAGGACGCAGUUCUAUGCUUCCACUGUGAUGGGGGCUUAAAAGGGUGGAAGAGGGGGGACCAACCCUGGGCCCAACAUGCCCAGUGGUUUGAUCGGUGCCCAUUUUUGGCCCAGGCAAAGGGCAAAAUUUACAUCAAAAAGAUGUGGAAGGAAGCUCGCGGCAUUCCCACGAACGCCCGUUGUGUCUAUGUCGCGAGUUUCUGGGAGGACAACUUGCUACCACAGGUGCAUUCGGGUACCAACCAUGAGUGGAUUUACAACAUGUUGGACCUGAGAUUAUUUCCCCCAGAAUAAUUCUUUAUUCCAUGGGAAAUUAAUCAGGUCCAUCAUAUUAUAGAUCCACUCAUGGUAUUAAAAACCUUCUAGUGUUGUAGACCAAUAACUAAAGAUAAAUUAGAGUGAUUUAAAAACUCAAUUACUUCUAAAAAUAAAAGUUUGCAUUUGAAAACAGUCAUCCAGACAUGCUUUUUGAUGCACCUUUCAAAACAAUAGAUAGAGUUCUUUAGUUUUUGUAUACAGUUUUUAAAAUAUUUAAAAUCAACAUAAUUAUUAAAAUUUUGACAUCCUCAAAUACAAACUUUUCAUAAUUUCAAAUUACCUAUAAAAAAACUUGUGUUCAUGUGUAUAAAAAACCUUCUAGUGUUCUAGACCAAUAACUAAAGGUAAAUUAGAGCGAUUUAAGAACACAAUUAGUUCUAAAACUACAAUUUUUGCAUUUGAAAACAGUCAUCCAGACAUUGCUUUUCGGUACACCUUUUAGAACAAUACAUAACAUUCUUUAGUUUUUGUAUACAAUUUUUAAAAUAUUUAAAAUCAUAAGAUAUAAUUAUUGAAAUUAUCCAAUUUUCAAUAUUACCCGAAUGCACCUUAUGGUACAAGUAUGUUGUAACAUGUUUUGAUGUAAAUUUUGUCCUGUCCCUCCUCCUCCAUCCUUUAAACCUUCUAGUGUUCUAGACCAAUAACUAAAGGUAAAAAGAGUGAUUUAAAAACUCAAUGACUUCUAAAACUACAAGUCUAGCAUUUGAAAACAGUCAUCCAGACAUGCUUUUUAGUACACCUUUCAAAACAAUAGAGUUCUUUCUCGCUAUCAAACAAGUGAAACUGCAUAAUUGUGCACUGGCAUCAGUUCACAUUUUUAGUUCUAGUGGCCUAGACGGUAUCUGAACUUUUUAUUAAAUAAACAACUAAGAAGUUCAAAUAAAUCUAAAUUGUAUGUACCAAACUUCAUAAAUGGGUAUGGUAAGCGAAGGCUCGAAUAUAUUGUUCCAACAUUGUUUGUUAAUAAUGUUCUGUUUGUUCCUAAAUAUUGUAUUUAUUGUAUGCAAUAAUAACCAGUGCACAGUAAAACUAACUGUGUUUGUGUUGCACUAUGGUUAGGCUUAAUUUCAAUGUGUUGUUUGUUGAAAAAUAAAUAAUAAUAAUAACAAUCUUUAACGAUUUUCCGGAUACGGUAAAGAAUCUUCUAAAAGAUACUAAUAUACUCACGAACGUCAUAAGCGGAAACUAAAGAAUUACUUUUUGGGACAGCCUGUGUAGCGUCGCAGCAGCGGUUUACUCACACUUUUACAAUAUUUAUUUAACUACCCGAUAAUGAUUUUUGUUUGUUAAUUAUUUUAGUUCUUAAAUAUUGUAUUAUGUAAUAAUAACCAGUGCACAGUAAAACCAACUGUGGUUUGUGUUGCAAUAUGGUUAGGCUUAAUCUAAAUGUGUUUUUUUGUAGAAUAAUAAAUAAAUAAAUAAAAAUAAUAUUAUA
Molecule: long non-coding RNA, 3065 nt
Organism: Bicyclus anynana (squinting bush brown)
Lineage: Eukaryota; Metazoa; Arthropoda; Insecta; Lepidoptera; Nymphalidae
Exons: 2
Source: RefSeq, a predicted model, not a curated record